AACGUACGCUGGCGGCACGCCUAACACAUGCAAGUCGAACGCAGUAGCAAUACUGAGUGGCAGACGGGUGAGUAACAUGUGGGAAUCUGCCUUGUGGUUCAGGACAACAUUGGGAAACCGAUGCUAAUACUGGAUAAGCCCUUACGGGGAAAGUUUUAAUGCCAUAAGAUGAGCCCGCAUUUGAUUAGUUAGUUGGUGAGGUAAUGGCUCACCAAGACAAUGAUCAAUAGCUGAUCUAAGAGGAUGAUCAGCCACACUGGGACUGAGACACGGCCCAGACUACUACGAGAGGCAGCAGUGGGGAAUCUUGCACAAUGGAGGAAACUCUGAUGCAGAGAUGCCGCGUGAGUGAAGAAGGCCUUUGGGUUGUAGAGCUCUUUUGUAGGGGAAGAUAAUGACUGUACCCUAAGAAUAAGGUCCGGCUAACUUCGUGCCAGCCGCCGCCGUAA
RNAcentral lists this ribosomal RNA (449 nucleotides) under uncultured bacterium. RNAcentral's name for it is "partial 16S ribosomal RNA". It matches the Rfam family "Bacterial small subunit ribosomal RNA", at positions 29 to 523 of the family's 1533-position model. The record is from RNAcentral.